This is a long non-coding RNA of Amphiprion ocellaris (clown anemonefish), 1297 nucleotides long. The record is from Ensembl. NCBI's taxonomy places the organism in Eukaryota, Metazoa, Chordata, Actinopteri, Pomacentridae.
GUCUCCAAGCAGGAAGUGCCACACAGCAGCCAGAUUUUAGCCACCAACCUCCAGUAUCACCACAGCACGACGAAACCAGAUCCUCAGUGAGAACCUUCUUGUCUCUGAUGGUCGUCUGGAUCUGGAUGCCGCAGUCAUGGAGACCCAUGUGAUGCAGCAGCAGGGCGGUCAGGUUGGCUAAGUCCAGGCCGGCCAUGUUGAGGGUGGUACCAUGGGCCGAUUCAAAGAUGGCGACUCCAUUGGCGCCGAUGUUACCGCUGGGCGUCACUCUGAGUCCUCCAACCAGACCAGCACACAGAUCACAGAGGACGUAGAACUGGGUCGGAUUGUGAACCCUGUUGAGACACACAGUGUCCAGAAGAACCACCAGUCAAAUGCGUUAAAAAUCGCUUGAAAAGUUUGUUGACUUUGCUUCAAAAUAACGUGUUUUUUUUCCUCCCACAGAUUAUAACCUCAUUACUUCGACCAAGCUGAUGAACGUUAGCCACUAGGUAUUGACCAGAAGAAGCUUUUGGAGCCUGUUUGUCAAAGGUAAACUGAUAACCAGCCAGUAUAAGGGCUUUGUGACAAAAACAUCUUCAACAUCUAGUAAAGUCAAGUUUAGAUUUUACUUUCUAACAGAUUUAAAACAUGAUAGAGCGUUACCACAUGAGACAACAUUAAACGCGUUAUUGUCACACAAGGAGGACGGCAUGAAUAUUUUAAACCACUGAGUCAGACAGUCUGCAUGACAUGAAUCCCAAAUUGUUGCUUUUGUGAUUUGCUAAUUGCAAUUAAGAUUUUAUAGACUUGAGAAAAUGAGAUAGCAUUCUUUCCAGAGAGGACUAAAAGUUCUGAAGAAUGUGCGUGAGCCAGGAUAACAUAUAUUUUGGGAAUGCCCAGUAAUAAAACACUGACAGUCAAAAAUGCACAAAUCAUUGGACAGCACUGUAAAAUACCCUUUCGGCUUGUUUAUUUCUAUUUGAGUGACUUUGAUUGAGGGGAAUUUACAAUAAAAACAUUUGCUGGUUCCCGACCCCUCCAGUAAGUUAAUUCAGUAUCUAAAAAUGUGUUUUUCACUUGGAAAUUUGCUGUAAGUUAUAGUCAAAAGGGAUUUUCUGUGUACGACAGUAUACAAUCAUAUCUUAUAGAGUUAGCACAUUAUCUGUUAUAAAUGAGUCUAUUUUUUCGUUCAUUUAGUUUUUUUCUGCUUUUUUAAAAUAAUAUGGCAUACAGUUGUAUUAGCUAUGGUCCCUGGUCCUUGACUUCUAAUGCUUUCUGUAACUUUAAGGUCUGUGUAGUUAGUGAAAAGUUACCG